UGUACUAGGAGGACAUUACAGAGUUCAUGCCCGAAAGGGUAGACCUCCCACCCUUGUGUAUUAUUACUUUGUUGCUUUGGCGAGCUGCCUUCGGGCCUUGUAUGCUCGCCAGAGAAUACCAAAACUCUUUUUAUUAAUGUCGUCUGAGUACUAUAUAAUAGUUAAAACUUUCAACAACGGAUCUCUUGGUUCUGGCAUCGAUGAAGAACGCAGCGAAAUGCGAUAAGUAAUGUGAAUUGCAGAAUUCAGUGAAUCAUCGAAUCUUUGAACGCACAUUGCGCCCCUUGGUAUUCCGGGGGGCAUGCCUGUUCGAGCGUCAUUUCAACCCUCAAGCUUAGCUUGGUAUUGAGUCUAUGUCAGUAAUGGCAGGCUCUAAAAUCAGUGGCGGCGCCGCUGGGUCCUGAACGUAGUAAUAUCUCUCGUUACAGGUUCUCGGUGUGCUUCUGCCAAAACCCAAAUUUUUCUAUGGUUGACCUCGGAUCAGGUAGGGAUACCCGCUGAACUUAAGCAUAUCAUAAGGCGGAAGGAAAA
RNAcentral lists this ribosomal RNA (531 nucleotides) under Botrytis fabae. RNAcentral's name for it is "eukaryotic LSU rRNA". The stretch from base 166 to 319 matches the Rfam family "5.8S ribosomal RNA". Lineage: Eukaryota; Fungi; Ascomycota; Leotiomycetes; Helotiales; Sclerotiniaceae. The record is from RNAcentral.